AGAGUUUGAUCCUGGCUCAGAUUGAACGCUGGCGGCAUGCCUUACACAUGCAAGUCGAACGGUAGAGGGGCAACCCUUGAGAGUGGCGAACGGGUGAGUAAUAUAUCGGAACGUGCCCAGUCGUGGGGGAUAACGCAGCGAAAGCCGCGCUAAUACCGCAUACGAUCUAUGGAUGAAAGCGGGGGAUCGCAAGACCUCGCGCGAUUGGAGCGGCCGAUAUCAGAUUAGGUAGUUGGUGGGGUAAAAGCCCACCAAGCCGACGAUCUGUAGCUGGUCUGAGAGGACGACCAGCCACACUGGGACUGAGACACGGCCCAGACUCCUACGGGAGGCAGCAGUGGGGAAUUUUGGACAAUGGGCGCAAGCCUGAUCCAGCAAUGCCGCGUGCAGGACGAAGGCCUUCGGGUUGUAAACUGCUUUUGUACGGAGCGAAACGGUCUGGGUUAAUACCCUGGGCUAAUGACGGUACCGUAAGAAUAAGCACCGGCUAAGNACGUGCCAGCAGCCGCGGUAAUAC
RNAcentral lists this ribosomal RNA (517 nucleotides) under uncultured Comamonadaceae bacterium. RNAcentral's name for it is "bacterial SSU rRNA". It matches the Rfam family "Bacterial small subunit ribosomal RNA", at positions 8 to 526 of the family's 1533-position model. Lineage: Bacteria; Pseudomonadati; Pseudomonadota; Betaproteobacteria; Burkholderiales; Comamonadaceae. The record is from RNAcentral.